CCUGUUCCAGCCAUGCCGCGUGUGUGAAGAAGGCUUCGGGUUGUAAAGCACUUUUAUCCGGAAAGAAAAGCGCUGGGUUAUACCCUGGUGUUCUGACGGUACCGGAAGAAUAAGCACCGGCUAACUUCGUGCCAGCAGCCGCGGUAAUACGAAGGGUGCAAGCGUUACUCGGAAUUACUGGGCGUAAAGCGUGCGUAGGUGGUUUGUUAAGUCUGAUGUGAAAGCCCGGGGCUCAACCUGGGAAUUGCAUUGGAUACUGGCAGGCUAGAGUGCGGUAGAGGGUAGUGGAAUUCCCGGUGUAGCAGUGAAAUGCGUAGAGAUCGGGAGGAACAUCCGUGGCGAAGGCGACUACCUGGACCACCACUGACACUGAGCACGANACGUGGGGACAACAAGAUUAAAUNCCUGGUANUCCACCCCUAACGAUGCGAACUGNAUGUUGG
Molecule: ribosomal RNA, 443 nt
Filed under: uncultured bacterium
Lineage: Bacteria
Description: bacterial SSU rRNA
Rfam family: Bacterial small subunit ribosomal RNA
Source: RNAcentral